AUUAAACGCUGGCGGCAUGCCUUACACAUGCAAGUCGAACGGCAGCACGGGGGCAACCCUGGUGGCGAGUGGCGGACGGGUGAGUAAAGCAUCGGAACGUAUCCUGGAGUGGGGGAUAACGUAGCGAAAGUUACGCUAAUACCGCAUAUUCUGUGAGCAGGAAAGCAGGGGAUCGCAAGACCUUGCGCUCUGGGAGCGGCCGAUGUCGGAUUAGCUAGUUGGUGGGGUAAAGGCCUACCAAGGCGACGAUCCGUAGCGGGUCUGAGAGGAUGAUCCGCCACACUGGGACUGAGACACGGCCCAGACUCCUACGGGAGGCAGCAGUGGGGAAUUUUGGACAAUGGGCGGAAGCCUGAUCCAGCCAUGCCGCGUGAGUGAAGAAGGCCU
Molecule: ribosomal RNA, 387 nt
Filed under: uncultured bacterium
Lineage: Bacteria
Description: bacterial SSU rRNA
Rfam family: Bacterial small subunit ribosomal RNA
Source: RNAcentral